Melospiza melodia melodia is the source of this 429-nucleotide long non-coding RNA. RefSeq lists it as uncharacterized. The record is from RefSeq and is a predicted model, not a curated record. The transcript has 2 exons. Lineage: Eukaryota; Metazoa; Chordata; Aves; Passeriformes; Passerellidae.
GGAGGAGACAGAGAGGGGCGACUAGAACAUGAGUUAAACAUCCCAGAAAUGGUCACCUGAAACGGCUCUGCAGGGUGUAUUUUUCUUCUGGCAAGGUUUACCAUGACAGCAGUAAGUCAGUAGGUGCCAAGUGUUCUUCCUUAAAACUCAUGCAUGGAAAGCUUCUAUUUCCUUGGGUGUUACAAGCUGAUCCCAACCAAGUCUUCCUCACAAAUCAAAGGCUAGAGCAGAGGUACAAGAGUGACCAGCAGCACCUCCCUGCUGCCUUUGGGGAGUGAGAAGAGGAGCCCAAACCAGCUCAGGUGCUCUCCAGAAGGCACUGCCUGGCACUGCUCAGCUCUUGUCUCUCCUCCCUCCAAAAUGCUGGGCUUUGUUGUUUGUUUUGUGGUUGGGUCUUUUUCUCCCUCUUAACUCAGCCUUCAUUUCUCC